Molecule: ribosomal RNA, 464 nt
Filed under: uncultured bacterium
Lineage: Bacteria
Description: SSU rRNA
Rfam family: Bacterial small subunit ribosomal RNA
Source: RNAcentral
AGGACGAACGCUUGCGACGUGCCUAAGAAAUGCAAGUCGAACGAGGCAGCAAUGCCGAGUGGCGAACGGUCGCGUAACACGUGGGCAACCUGCCCUGAAGCGGGGGACAACAACUUGAAAGAGUUGCUAAUACCGCAUGUGAAUCGUGGUGGCAUCACCGAGGAUUCAAAGCCGCAAGGCACUUCAGGAUGGGCCCGCGGCCUAUCAGCUAGUUGGUGAGGUAACGGCCCACCAAGGCUUCGACGGGUAGCUGGUCUGAGAGGACGAUCAGCCGGAUUGGGACUGAGAUACGGCCCAGACUCCUACGGGGGGCAGCAAUUAGGAAUCUUGCGCAAUGGGCGAAAGCCUGACGCAGCGACGUCGCGUGAAGGAUGAAGUAUCUUGGUACGUAAACUCCUUUCGAUGGGGAAGAUAAUGACGGUACCCAUAGAAGAAGCCCCGGCUAACUUCGUGCCAGCAGCCGC